Long non-coding RNA from Ipomoea triloba (trilobed morning glory), 949 nucleotides. RefSeq lists it as uncharacterized. The transcript has 2 exons. The record is from RefSeq and is a predicted model, not a curated record. Lineage: Eukaryota; Viridiplantae; Streptophyta; Magnoliopsida; Solanales; Convolvulaceae.
CAUCCGGAAGUGGUCCGCUUCAUUUCGCUAUACAAAGAAAUUGCGAUUGAGGAAACAAGGGAUGAAGUCGCCACCUUUCCUUUUCAAUCGCGUUUCUUUGUAUAACGAGAUGGAUCGGACCGCAAAAUUUCUUAUACCUUCGUUUUCUGUGAUCUAUUUCCGCGUGCGUGUGUAUAUAAAUGCAUUUAUUAUAUUUGUUUUUUAUGGAUUUAUAGAAGACUAGAGAUUGAAUAUGCUGGCAGAUCUAUUAAGUGAUUUUGGAGUUUUUUAGAUUUUGUUGCGGAGUUAUAUAUAUAUAUCUGAGGACAAUUGUUCUUGUGCUAUGUACCUGAAAUCUCAUUUUAGAUUUGUUGGUAGUGAACAAAUUGACAAAUUCGGAGUUGAACUGUUAUCCUACUUUAUUAGGAAAGGUGCAUUUUCAAGGAAGUGUUAAUGGUAUAUCAAAAUUUUCUAUAAACCGCAUAAAUAUCAGAUCUCCGUUUUUUUUUUUUUUUUUUUUUUUUUCAAAAAAUCUGGAAAGGUUUCCAAUCAUGUAUUUACAAGAAGGUUCUGUUGGUUAAAAUUUGCUUCCGCAAAAUAUAUUUUGAUUCUCAGUUUCUUUAUUGAAUCUGUGAUGUGUUGAUUACUUUUGUUUUGAGUACUACGUACUCUAUUUUUAUACUUUCUCAACCUGGCACAAAGAGUAUUGUCUCUACUGAGGUUCUCAACCUGGCACAAAGAGUAUUGUAGUAUUGUCUCUACUGAGUUUAAAAUGAUAAAAAGAUGAGAGAAGCACCCGCGGGAGUGCAGAGCAGGUUUCGCCAUUGAAGAAUACGCCAAGUAAAGAGCAGGGCAAUGUAGUGUUUUGUGAAGAUGAUGUUUAGCUACUUUGUGUAGAGCAAUAUUAUUUUUUUGUGAAGAUGAUGUAUGUUUGUUGUGAUUUAUUAUCUAGAAAAAAAAAUGUAGUUCC